GCAUACCAGGCGCGACAGGUGGGCGGACACAGAAGGCGACGCCUAGGGCUGUGUUGUCCCGGAAGUGCCUUCUCUCCUCCCGGGUCUGCGCGGACGCGGCCUCCUUACCUCAUUUGUCCUCGCCCCUCCCCGUCCCUCUACGCGUUUUGGUCCCUGUUUGGUGCUUUCUGUUUGCAGCUACGGCAGUGAAUCUGGGCAUAGGAACCAAUCAGAAACAAUCGCUUCAGCAAUCAAGACCAUUGUUCAUCAUGGAGGAACCCAUGGAUACCUCUGAGCCUCUAUCUGCAUUACCAUUCACUGGGCAGCAGUCUUUUGAGCCAAGUGGCAAAUUUGGACAGUAUCCAUCGAUGCAGAUGAACCACAUCCAGGCACUGGGGAAGUGGAGGACAUAGAACAGCUCAAUCAGUGUUUGAUCCAACACUUCCAUCUCAUUAAGACAAGUUUGAUUUUUCUUUGCUUUUUAUUUCAUGGAAUACAUGAGAAUCUCUUAACUGUUGGAGUUUCCAAGGAGGCAUACCUCAUGACUUCAGUUAAUGGAAAGAACAAAACUAAAAUGCUGUAUGGCCAAAGCCACAAAGGGAAGGAUCCACAAUUUACAUUCUUGGAGCUAUCAUCUGUACUGUACUGUUGUGAUCUACUGAUUGGCAUUGGCAUAGUAGUAGGGGUCAAGUGACAGAAUCCGUGCCAGCAGUCUCCAGGUUCAGAAGCAAUUCAAGACCCUGAUGAUAGCUCUCCAGCAACCAACACAUGGUGAUUGUGCCAACUUGUUGCUCAGUUAUAAUGCAGGGCCAGUGAUUGGUUUAAGUGAAGACCAUGGUUGAGAUCAUUUGUCUUUGGUCUAAUAGAAUUUGAGUCUAGUAGAAUUUGAGUCUCCAGGGAAAGAGCUACUUGACCAAAUUAAACUAGUAGCAGGUAGAGCAUGAAUGACAGCAUAUUAUACCAUCAAGAUGUUCUUAGAGCAGUGUAUGGAUGGAUCGAUUGUACUGCCAUCAGUUGUGACUGACGUUGUAUUCAAGGAGAAAGAGAAACUUGUUUAGAAAGCACUUUGAAAGUUUUUUGAGUACGGGGGUGCCCUGUAUCACCCCGUUAUGGUUGAACUUUCUCCUUCAAAAUUACCAGACUUGGCAGCAGUGGCAAAUUAUUGGGCUAAAAGACUUAAUCAGACAUAUUCUGGGUUCAAGGCUCCUAAUAUAAUACCUGGUGCAAACAUUAUACUUCCACUCAUUCAGAUGGUUGCAUCCUGCCAGGCAUCCAGUGGGACUGGGAAUAUGGACACUUGAACAUUAAACAUCCUGAAGAAUUUUGGAAUGACAGGUUACAAGUGAACAUAAUCAGUUCUCUAUAUUAAAAAAAAAAAAAGAUUUGGGCAUAGAUUGGGCUCACAUAAUCUUUAGAGAGAUUUUUUCAUUUUUGUGAAAGUACAGAAAUUCUUAACUGCUUAUGAAAUGCUGAUUGUUAAACAGCAUCCACAGCUAUUUUGUGUUGUUUCCCUGACCCCACCCUGAAGAAAAGAAAAAUUAUGGCAUAUUGAAAACAGCAGUAUGAUGUAAGAGAAAAGAUCACAAAUUCCUUGAGGGUGGGUCUUUUCCAUACUCAUAAGCCUAUUUAUAAUAUUCAGAGUAAUUUAUUGACACAUAUUAAUAUUCCCUCCUAUCCCAUUAAUUGCCAAAUCAUCAAACAUUUAUUGAGCACCUACUCUGUGUAGGGUGUAAGCAGUACUGGGGACUUACAGUGAUAAAAGACAUAGUUUUAGCCUUAAGUGAUGUACUGUUUCACUGAAGAGAUGGAAUAUAAGAAGCCAAGUAAUUUAUGGAAUUCUCUUCUUUGUUUUUCUUUUUUUUUUUUGGCAGUGGAGUCUUGCUCUUUAAAUAGAGCAAGGCUAGUCUGGAACUCCUGGGCUCAUGUGGUCCUCCCGCCUUAGCUUUCAGUGUAGCUGGGACUACAGGUGUGAACACAGCUUGGAAAUCUCUUAACCAUGGGAGUUAAGUCUCAAAAUUCUGGUGAUACAAGUGGUUGAAACUUAAAACUGUAUUUAAAAAAUAGGAUUCGUGAAUUUGAGAUAGUUCAUAAGUCUGCAAAAGGCUGUAUAAAUACAUAUUUUACAUUUACUAUUAUUAAUUUUGUAGUAAAUUUGAGUACAGCACUCUCUUUAUCUGUGGAAACUUCAGACUCUCCCCUAUUACUUUAAUUUCAGUGAGACAUUAUUAAAUAUAAGUGGGCUUACACA
Molecule: long non-coding RNA, 2227 nt
Organism: Homo sapiens (human)
Lineage: Eukaryota; Metazoa; Chordata; Mammalia; Primates; Hominidae
Gene: EBLN3P
Product: endogenous Bornavirus like nucleoprotein 3, pseudogene
Source: Ensembl